CAGUAGCCGCGGGAAUACGUAGGUCCCGAGCGUUGUCCGGAUUUAUUGGGCGUAAAGCGAGCGCAGGCGGUUAGAUAAGUCUGAAGUUAAAGGCUGUGGCUUAACCAUAGUACGCUUUGGAAACUGUUUAACUUGAGUGCAAGAGGGGAGAGUGGAAUUCCAUGUGUAGCGGUGAAAUGCGUAGAUAUAUGGAGGAACACCGGUGGCGAAAGCGGCUCUCUGGCUUGUAACUGACGCUGAGGCUCGAAAGCGUGGGUAGCGAACAGGAUUAGAUACCCCCGUAGUCCCUGUCUCUUAUACA
Molecule: ribosomal RNA, 301 nt
Filed under: uncultured bacterium
Lineage: Bacteria
Description: partial 16S ribosomal RNA
Rfam family: Bacterial small subunit ribosomal RNA
Source: RNAcentral